Molecule: long non-coding RNA, 37665 nt
Filed under: Coffea arabica (coffee)
Lineage: Eukaryota; Viridiplantae; Streptophyta; Magnoliopsida; Gentianales; Rubiaceae
Description: long non-coding RNA (CARA_LNC006929)
Source: RNAcentral
AAGCCAAGAUGUACCUACUGCUGCCUAAGUUAGCUCCAUGUAAUUGCAGCUCCAUGUAGCCAUGUUUCAGAGAUACUUCCAUUUUGUUCAUCAUAUCAUCUUUUUCCUUUCUUUUUUCUGAACUCACAAUGAUUGAUAAAGAAAGAUGUACUGCAGGUAAAUCUUUUGCAAUCCUGCACGGUCAUUACCUCUUAGUAAAUUUUUUGAAGUAAAGAUAGAAAUUUGCUGAGAUCCAUCUGAGUUGCAAGAUUGGGCUUUCAGUUGCUCUUUGUUAGUUGUUACCAGAAUUGUUACGGGCCUGUCAAAAAUCCCAUUUUCUUUUGCCAUCAGAAAUUUCGUCAUAAGAGGUAGCAAGAAAUAUAAAGGGAAAAAGAAACAUAAAAGAAAGGAAGUUUGACAAGGAAAUAUCAAAUAUGACUAAAGUGGUCCUUUUUUUUAAUAACAACCGAGAAAACGUCAUCUCUUACAGCGGAUAGCGGGAUACGUUAAGAAUAUACACGUCAUAAGCAAAGUCAAUUUUAAAUACUACAAAUACGACAAAGACAAAGACAAAUUAAAAACGCAAACAAAAACAAAAAACCGUUAAAUCUGAAGUUCAAAUAAAAAAUAUCUAUAUUAUAUACAAUGCCUAAGCAUCACUGUGUGGUGUAAACAUACCGUGUCAUUUUUUAAAAUUUCUAAUCUACACUUAAUGACAAGGGUAAAUAAAGUUAUCCCAAUUUAUUAAAAAAAAAACAAAAAACUUCCCCACAAUUAGGAGAGACCUAUUUGAAUCGUUUAUUUGCUGAGGCUAUUCACUUUCCCACACUAACUUCCAACUCCCGUCUAAUCUGCUCAACUUCCAUCAUCUUUCCGUGUAAAUAUCUACACUAUAAAAGAACUUAACCAAUAAAAAAAAAAUUAUAAAGAGAUAAAUUAGAUAAAUAUAAUUUUUUUUUAUUAACUGCACACAUGUUAGGGUAGGAUGUGGCUCAAACACUAGCUUGAAUAAAGGGGUAACCAAGGCCAUGUUGUUGCUAGAUUUGAAUCACACAGCAAGUACAUAUAUAAUUUGUUCUUCUUAAGAAGAUACUUGUACAAUGAAAUGUAAAGUAUAUAUCCUCCUUGUUUUAUUGCUCUACCACACAGUACUAAUACUACUAUUGUCUGAUUUCCUCUAAAGAAAAAUGCUAAAUGAGAAAAAGUAGAGACAACCAUGCUCAUAAAAGUCCUAAAAAGAAAAAGUUUAUCAAUCAAGCGCAUAAAGCCAAAAAGAGAGAGAGAGAGAGGGCUGAGGGCAUUGGCAAAUGAAAUUUUAACGAGUGAUUUUGUUAUUGUUGGAUGGAUGGACCAUCUUCUAUCGCAAUAGUAGUAUAAGACCAAAUUUCCUGUCAAAUCAUUUGAUAUACACAUGCCUAACAUGUUAGGUGAUUAAAAAAUUGGAGACUACAAAUGAGACAUGAUGGAUUAUUAAUUAAUUCUCCAUUAUUGUUGUACCUUAUUUUUCAGUCUUUGGAUUUGUCUAAAAGGGUUUAUUUCUUUACAACUAAAAGUUUGGAUCAAGAGUGAAAAAGAGGGAUUUCCCAGGAAACUUUCAUAUAGUAAAAAAAAAAAAUAUUAGUAUUCAUACAUUUCAAUGCAUGAAGCAAAGAGGGAUGGAAAGGUAUAUACCUUAGGAAUUUAUGCUACAAAAUUGUAAGGAUGAGAUGAUGGACAGUGUUGUAAUCUAUAAUCAGGAAAAGAAAGAGACAGAAAAUACCAGAGAAAAUGGUCAAUCUAAUGAACAAUAAUUAGUUUGGGGGAAAUAUAACAAGUUGUGAUUUUUAUUUACUUAAUAUGAUGAUGACUAUUGUAUAAAGUUGUGAUUUCUUCCACCAAAAGAAAACAAACUGGGAUGCUUCUGUACCAGUUUCAAAAAAGGGAUGCUUCUGUACUGUACCUUCUCUACAGGGAGUCAAAGUUGAGCUGCUGAUCUAAAGUGCCUCAGUAAAACACAUCUCAGUUGUUGCAACUUACAUAUACAUUUAUUUUUGUUCUGAUCAUGAUGACUUGUGAUUGCUUUUGCUUCUAUCUAUCACUUUUAAUUAAGUAAAAUUUUUGGCACUUGCUCAAUUCUAAUUGAUCAAAAGUUGUAUGAUUAAGGGACACUAAUAUCAACUUAAUUUUACAACCAUCUUCAGAGCCAAUUUUUAGAUCGUAAUUUUUUUUUUCUGAAAACAUGAUGUUAGUGUUCUUAAAUUUCAUAUUCAUCCAAACAAGUUAAGAAUUAUGAAAAUGUUGCCCAAAUGGUAACAAAUUAAGAACGUUACCAUGACGCUUUGAGGUUCAAUUUAAGACAUAUUUCUAAACUAAUAUAAGUAAGUCGAUAGUUUUAUUUUUAUGACAUAUUAGAUAUAUGGAAUUGAUUUUUUUUUUUUUUUUCGACACAGGGGUGUCCGGGUCAAUCUUUACGGGGCCCGACUAAUCCCCUGCAACCCGGGCCCGGCGCUCCAACCCGAUCCAAACACGAUAAGUGCGCGGAGGAAUCCAGCAGAGCGGAGACUCGAACUUGGGACCUCAAGGGUCACCGGUGAGAGACGCUACCGCUGGACCAUUCACGCGGGGGGCGAUAUAUGGAAUUGAUUAUACAGACCAAAUUGUGAAAAAAAUAGGAAAAAUAAAGGAGGGGGCCAAUUCUAUUACUAUGAAUUUAUCCUAUUUAUUUACACUUUAGUCGUUAUGAGCUGGCAAGCCAGUUAGUAGGAUUGGAAAACCAUGUAGGGGCCAAACUUCAGAUUGUCCCAAAUCUGAGGGGCCGGUCUAUGAAAAUUAGCUGCCUAUCAAGGUCCAUAAUUCCAUCCAUUCCUUUGGAUUUUCCCAGCCCUAAUAUCACCUGACUUCACUAUCAUUAUCACUCCCUGUAUCCUUUCACUUUAGCUUCCUAACCCCCAACCAAGAAUACCCCUCCCCCCACCUUGAAUUUUCUCUGCAAUUCCAGCAGAUCUCCACUUUCGACCCUUGGAUCUCCUUCCAUUCUCGAUACCCUUUUGCAUUUUCUGCGGAAUUCUGGUGUGUUUUACGUUUCUUGCACUAUUCUUCCUUCCAUAUUUUCCACGCACAUUUCACACACUAGCGGUGUAAAGUUUUCUGCUUUAGGCCAUUACUUUUCUCAGUAUCACAUUGACAUUGAUGAGAUUGUGUAAGCUGACUUCAAAGUCAGGUUAGCUCACUUUUGUUCACAUUUUUUGUUUAUUUGAACUUUUCUCAUGUGGGCUUUUGUCCCUUUUAUGUAUAUACUGCAUGGAAGUGCAGCUUGAGUUGUACGGUGUUAGAUAUUAUGUGAUAUUGCAAAUGGGAUUUGCAUUAUUUUGAGGAGAGUUUGAGUUUUUGGGCAUUUGGGUUUUUGAUAAAUUGAAGCACAAAUUCAGAUCUCAAACAUGAAUGCUAUAUAAUUGUGGUCUUUCUUCUAUUUUUCUUGAAUUUGUUGAAAAUUUGUGUGAUGAUCUGAUGAGAACUAUAUGGUUAAUUCUUCUAUAUCAUACUAGUUUUCAUUUAUUGGUAUUAUAUGAUAAUGAGUUCUGUUUACUUUUUAAAAUUCUUAAUUCAGGUGCUUAAAUCUCAGCUCUUUUCUUACCGGGUCGGGUCGGGCUGUAGCCUCAUCAUCUGGAUAGUUCACGAGCAAUGGUAUAAUGCAUUUUUCGUGGAUGUUCUUAUUUGAAACAUGUAUAAAAAUUUGUGUAGUUUAAUUGUUUUAUAGGGUUGCUAUGAAAACUUUAUUUGUAAUUUUCUUCUCAUGAUGUGAAUAUUAGUUUUCCAUGGUGCUGCUGGUUAUUAGCUAAUUUCUUGUGGAGCAAAAUAUUUCCCUGUGGCUGUGAAUCCUUGAGGGAUAUAUAGAAAUCAAGUGGUUUUACUGGUGAUCUGCCAAUAAAAGCUUUAUUCUUUUCUUGAUCUUUUCUUUUUCUGCUCAUAGGACAGAGGAAUGGAAGACAUCGAUGCAAUUUAGUGUAUAUUGUGUCUUUUGGAUAGUUUUUAAGGAUUAUGCGUCAAUGGACCGGGAUUUAAUUUUUUAGGCACAUACAAGUUCCAAUUAGACAUUCUUGGAUUAAUUGUUUGCCACCUUUUUUUAAAAAAAAUUAUUAGCCACUCUUUUUUGUGAAGUGUUCCAUUUUUUUUUGGGUUUGCUAUAGAUUGUUAGAUAAUAACAAUUUUUUUGGAGGAUGAGGCUAAACAUUUUUGUUUUUAGAAUUUUUCUUCCAAAUGAAAACACAGGUUUAUAAGUUGUCUCAUUUUGAUUGUACUGCCUUCGAGAAAUUACUAUUUGUCUCAUGCAUCUAUCAUUUUUGCAAUAUUUCUGUGCUAUGUAUGACUAAAAACAAUUUGGUUGGUGCAGUCCUUUUGUUCCCUGGAAGUAGUUUGGCGAGUUUGUAUAUCAUUACUAUAUGUUGUGUCCAACUGAGCAUGCUUGUCUAGAUGCAUUCAUGACUGUUUUGAGAAGAUGCAGAUAUGUUGUCAACUUGACAUUGUUAAAUAUUAGAGAUAAGAAAAUAUGAGAACUUUCUUCAAAGUAUUGGAUAAAUGUUUGCCAUUGCCUGAGUUAAUGCAGAUGGUAAAGUGAAAAGAUGAGUAGAGCUUUUAUUACUAACAAGUUGCUUUUUUUUUUUUUUUAAAUUAGCUUUUUAUUUGGAAUAUAAGGUUUACCAAUUUUUGGAGAUCAGAAAUACACAAUUAAUGAUUUUGUGAUGGCCAAAAUGAUUUUAUUGUAUUCUUUGCUGGUCUUAAAGUUGUAACAUGUAAUCAUAGGUCCUCUCAUCUGAACAAGCUAGAAAGGAAUGGAAGGAAGUGAAGAUAUUCUAGACCAAUCAUAAGCUCGUUUAAUAUUCUUUUUUAUGACCUCUUCGUCAUAUCUAAUUUCUCAGUUGUGAGAAUUUCAUGAUUGAUGAUAAGGUCUGAUGAUUACUGAAACCGAAAAGGUACUAUUUGUAUUUGCUCAAUGCAGAACUAACUAUAAAUAGAAAAACAAAUUUUUUGCUUUCUAUGGCAUUUUAUUUCUUCACUGUGCAUCAUUUUUCCUUUCGAGUAAGAUAAGCUAUGUUAAUGUGAACCUUGAAUUCUGGUCAAAAUUAAUUAUACAUUGAUCUGUUAUCUAUAGGAAAGAGGAAAAAAAACCUGUUGGAGUUCCUUUUUCUAUUGUUCACAUUGGUUGUUUGUUGUUUCUUAUAUGACAAGAGGGUGAAGAACAUGGAUAUCUCCUAGUCAAGGUUUCUAGCCAUCUUAUCCAAUGAGACUGGAAUUCAGCCUCCAUUAAUCUUGCUUUCAUAUGGCUGGGUUGUGCAUCAGAUAAUGUCUCAACUGAGUUAUAUAUACAAAAUACUUUAUGAAAGCCUAUGCCUUUAUAAUUUUGCCUUCCUGCAAUAUGAUGAUUAGGAAGAUUAUAGUGUUACCCUAUCUGGUUUACCAUAUAUUUCUGUACAUGUCCUUGUUUGGUUUACUUUGGGUAAGGAAAUGAAUUGAUCAGGCUUUGAUGCUUCUUGUUUCAAUUUAUUACAUAGGCCUAUCAACAAGAAGCAAUGAACUUGGUAGUCAAGUUACUGUGAUUGGAUUCUGCUGUAUUCUACAGCUCUUCAAGAAAAUGAAGUUGUAAACAAGAAUCCAUGAAUUUGAUAGCUGAGUUACUGUGAUAGGAUUCUGUUGUAAUCUACAGCUCUUCAAAAAAAUUGAAGUUGGUUUGCUCAGUUGUUCUACCGACCUGCUUUGAGAUCCUUCUGUGUUCCCUGUAUAUGAGAAAAGAGAAUAAAAAUAUAGGCUUAAUCAUUCUAAGAGAUGGCAUCGUUGUUAUUAUUUUAAAGGACAAAUGUCUUAUUCUUUGUACCCUAUUCAAUUAUUUACUCUAGGAGUAAACAGUACUGCUUCGUCCUGAAGCAUGCUAUAGUUGUUUCUCCUACUUCAUUUAUUUGCUUAAUAUGGUUUUGCUCCUUUUGAUUAGCAAGCAUUAUGUAUCUCUAUGUAGUCAUUUCAGUUUGUCAUGCAUAAUUUUUUUCCCCUUUUGUUAUGUGUCCCAUCUUGCAUCUGUUAGUGUAAACCACUGCAUAGAGGUUCAAAAGAUAGAAAGAAAUUUACAGUUGUAAAGAACCUGGUGUUCAUAGGAAAGUCGGGCAAUAUGGGAGACUAGCACACAAACUUACACACACACACUCUCUCUCUGUCUCUCUUCCAUACCCUGUAAAAGAAUACAACAUCCGGUUUUAGUUUAUUUCUGCUUUACUUUUUCAUUUGUCACAAGAUGGGGGAAAGAACUCUCAGAAUAGGAAGAACGGAAGGUAUUGAAUGGGAUGUAAUAGCACUGGAUUAGUCUUUCAGCUUUGGGUGGAGAAAAGUUCUUUAUUCCAUGGAAUACAGUUAGACUUUGAUCUCUCUGCUGUGGCAUACCACUGCUUGCACUUCAAGGUCAAUACCAUGCCAAAUCUGGUUUAGUUAAGUUUAAUGGAAGAUGCUAGCUUGCAGUUGUAACUAGUAAAUUGUCCUUGUUAAUGGAUGAUGCUAUCUUACUUCUAUUGCAAUGGAGAUUCAUAUAGUGAAAGAAGUAUCCAACUUUGAUGAGAUGAAAGUCAUGCAUCAAUGUUCUUAUGCUGGUUAGUGCUACGUCUGAUUGAAGUUUUGCCCUUCUGGAUUCUCUUACUUUGAUUUCCUAGGUUUUCUGCAAUACAUGUGAAGUAUUCACACAGAAUCAGGCAGUUCAUGCUGGUAGUUUUCUGAAUGUGAAAUUUUACACUUGCGACAAAAAAUAUAUACUCUUGGAAACUUUUUCACUGUGCUUGAUUGUUAUUUGGGUAACAAAUGGAAGCUAAUAGUUCACUUUUAAAAAAUUUUUUUUUUUACAUCGCAAGAGAUGGGGAGGAUGUUUGUGUGGAUUGGCUUGUUUUGGCAAUCAAAAAGGUGACAAACGUAUUGUACCGGCUUCUCUUAUCCCUGAGGCAACUUCAGUGGCCAAUCAGCCUAAUGGAGCUCAAGUUGGAGGAUUGACUAAUCAGAAUGCAGCGCUCUUGGCUCCACCAUCUUCACCUGCUUCCUUCUCAAAUUCAGCACUCCCUUCAACAGUUCAGUCCCCCAGCUGUUUCUUGUCUGCAAAUUCACCUGGGGGUCCUUCUUCAACCAUGUUUGAUACUGGUCCAUUUGCCCAUGAGACACAACUGGUAUCUCCUCCAGUUUUCUCAACUUUCACAACUGAGCCUUCUACUGCUCCUCUCACACCCCCUCCAGAAUUAGCACACUUAACUACCCCCUCUUCACCUGAUGUACCAUAUGCUCAGUUUCUCUCAUCUUCAGCUGGUUUUAGAAGCUCUGGGAAGACAAAUUAUGUCGCUGCUAGUGAUCCUCAAGCGACAUAUUCACUGUUUCCUGGGAGUCCUGCAAGUACUCUUAGAUCACCUGUUUCAAGGGCUUCCCGUGAUGCUCUAUCGUCAUCUUUUCCAGAAAGAGAGUUUUCACCUCAAUGGGAUCCUUCAGUUUCUUCUCAAGAGACUAAUUAUGCAAGGUCAGAAUCUGGCCGAUUGAUUGGGCUUGAUGAAAAUGCAACUGGUGGCUUCAAAAAGUCCCAAGAGUCAAAUUUCUUCUGCCCAGCUACAUUUGCCCAAUAUUAUCUGGAUCCCUCAUCAUUCCCGCAGUCUGGUGGGAGGUUAAGUGUCUCCAGAGAGUCAGAUGCUUACUCAAAUGGAGGGAAUGGGCAUCAGAACAGGCAAACCAAGACAGCUAAGCAGGAUGUUGAGGAAUUGGAAGCUUACAGAGCAUCUUUUGGUUUCAGCGCUGAUGAGAUUGUCACUACAGCUCAUUAUGUGGAGAUUUCGGAUGUCCUCGAGGACUCGUUUACCAUGACACCAUUUCCCUCGACUAAGCAACAUGAGGUGGAAGGUAUUCUUACUGCAGCAGCAGUUGAGGAAACAAAAAUGGAGAAAACAAAAGCAGAGAAAACGCAGAAAGAUACUCAAAGUCCAGAAUUCUUUAAACCAGUCUUGAAUCCCAUUGUGGUUGAGAGAAAAGUGGCAGUUUCUCCUGAUGGUCGUCAAGGUGGCACGUACAUACCUGAGAUGUCUUUUAUUUGUCUUCUGAGUAUAAGAAAUCUAUGUGGUUCUCCUUAUAUUAGUUCUUAUUGCUUGCUUUUUCCCACGUCUUCAUGCGUCCUGUUUCUGCAGGGACUAUAACCGUUUCUUUUCUAUCUCAGGCCAUGUCUCUGAUAGGCAAUCUGGAAACAUCUCUGUCCGAAGUGCACCUGGGAACCACCUUCUGAGUGAUGAUGAGGACAUCUUUUCUAAGAUGGGAGCUUCUCGAAUUAGUAGAAAAUAUCAUCUUGGUUUGUCAAGCUCGGAUGCAGAAGUUGAGUACAGGAGAGGCCGAAGCUUGAGACAAGGGAAAGGAGACUUUGCAUGGCGUGACUAAUGGUCACAGUACAAGAGUAGACAACGAAAUUGUGUCUCGUAUUAUUGAUAUGCAGGCUUGCAAUUGGUCUUGAAUGGGGGUUUUCUUUGAUAGGUAAUCUAACCUCUGAUCUAACCCCUCUCCCUCCAUCUCCCCUCCCUCUCUCUCUCUCUCUCUCUCUCUCUCUCUCUCUUGUGUGCUGUUUCCUACUGCUGAAUGUAUUCUGUCUCUACAGUUAUACUCAUGUCUGGGUCAUGUGAUGAUCCAGUAUAAUAUCUGGUAAAUGUUAUUUAAUUGGGGUGUUAGGCAUUAAGGAACUCCUUUUCUGUAAAUGGUCAUGUAUGCAUUUGUUUAGAAUUGGCCUGAACCCUUGUUCUGGAAAUAUAGUACCACUUCUAUCAGAACAUCACCAAUUGUCUGCUCUUUCCUGUUAAUCUUUGAAAUUUUAUUUUCUUUGCUCUUGUUCUGUAGCAUGUUACUUUUAACACCAUAACAAUUAACACUAUGAAGAUCCGGGGCCUCUGUAGUCAUAGGUGCGAGUGAUUGUAGCAGCCAAUUCGCGGCCACAGCGGCCUGCUGUGGGAUUUCAGGAUAUAAUCACCUAUGAUUCAGACUGGUUUGAUGAGAUAAUUGUUUUGUUCUUACCGUUGGCUUUAAGAGUAGUAAAUAAAGUCGGUAUGUAAGUCGAAAUACUUCAUCUUUUGGAUUGCUAACUGAAGUAUUUGACUAGCGAGCUCUGCUCAGCCUGGGGAAUUAGUCUGGGUGAUUUCGGGAUAUCCCUCUAGACCCCAAAGAAAAAAAAGAAACUGAAGUAUCUGACUUGCAUGUACCACAACAAUUUGCCAUAAAGAUCACACUACCACUGGCCUCUGCAACUUACACGGUCACCUAUAACAUAUUUAGAAAAUCUUUUCAACAUACAAAAGAUAUGUGUUCAAGGAAAGAACAGAUCAACACUACACAUAAAACUAGAUGGCUUCAAUUAAGGCACAGACUUGCGAAAUAGUUCCAGAAUACCAGCAUAUCAAGGAACUUUAUGGUCUAAAAGAGCGUCAAAAAAUUAUCAAACAAAUAAUGGCACUAAUUAUUCAUCAAAGUUUCCUCGAGAAAGAAGGGAUGUGCAAAUUGUUACCAAAGAGUUGAGACCAGAGCAUUUUCCAACAUCAUCCGUAUGAUUAAAGAAAUUGGUCCCUUGCAAAAACUAAUAGUUUAACAGCAUUACUAGACGUAAACCCUUUUUCUCCCAGAAAUUUGGUUAUGCAUUUUCAGAUUUAAAUCUGGAAACGUAGAGCUUGAUUCAACUUCAUCUUGAACUCAAGGUAAGCCUUUUCGCAGAUUUCCACUCCUUUGCAUCUGGUUCUGCUACUGCUACAAGAAACCAUCAGUCAUAGCUGAGUCUUAACUCAAUGUCCAACAUUCUUCAAAGCCUUGUACUGUAUGGAUCAUGACCCAAUUGCCAUAUCUGCAGCUACCUCUUCAAUCAAUCGUUAAAAGGAAAGAGAGAGAUUUUGACAACAAGAUCACAAUGUUCUUUCCUUGCUCAUCCCUUAUGCAGAGGUCACCAAUCGUGAAAACUUAACAGAGGAAAGACUGAAUUAGUAGUUCUUUAUUUCCCGGUACUUCCAAGUUCCUCAAAUCAUCAAGCAAAGGGGGUCAAUCAUUGCUGAAGUUAUCAGUUCACCGCAACACUAAUAAGAUGAGCUGAGGAAAAAUUGACAACAUAUAAACAUUACUAACUUCAGUUGAUCAGAAACAAAGAACUGCUACUUAAAUAACUGUAACAUGGAGAGUAAAAUGGGGGAAUUUCAUAAAACAAAUGCGCUAAGCCAAGAAGAAUACAAGUUCAUUUACAAUGAAAUGAGAGAAUUGUAGAUAAGAGCACAAGUGUCAGAGUACACUCUGAAUUUUAAAGGUUUCUCUGUAUGUCACUGUCAGAGCUAUUUCAAAGUUCUGCCAUGGUAAAUGUGUCCUUAAUAGAUUUCAAGGUAUUAACAACUUGUGUUAUAUUCAUUCUAUCUUCGGGUAAGUGCAUGGAGCAAGCCAAGCCAACUUUAAGCAAUGAAAUCAAACACUGCUCUAGUAAACUGCUUUUUGUUUCUCCUAGUGAAAUGCAUAUGCUAUUGGCUGCUGUAGCCCUUUUGUAGUCUUCGCAAAGAAGUACUGGAUCUACAAUAUCCAUCACAUGCUCAGGAGUUGCCAUUUCAACGUAUCUAUGAAGAUCAAGGCCUCCGGCGAACAAAGGAUGCGUGGGCUUCUUCCCUGUCAUCAUCUCCAGCAUUAGGAUCCCAAAGCUGUAGACAUCUCCACUACUUGAUACCUCGGCAUCUAAGCCGUACUCUGCAUUAAUGUUGAAGCUUUUCAGACAACAAAAAAUGUCAAAAAUAACUUGUGUAUCAAGGGAAAAUUUUCGUGUUUUUUAUAUGAUGUUGCAUAAUUAUAUAUACAAACAAUAAAGAAUCAAAUAUAUGUGUUCUUUCUUUCCUGGAGCCACAUAUCCUAUAGUUCCUGUGAUUCCAACAGAGCUGCUUUCUAAUGAACUGGGAGGUGAAUGAAGAUACUUUGCGAGCCCAAAAUCUCCAACAUGGGCUAGGCGAUCACUGUCAAGAAGAAUAUUGCUUGGUUUAAGAUCGCAAUAAGCAAUCUGCCUGUGGCAAUGAUGAUGUAGGUAAUCGAGGGCACAAGCCACAUCAAUAACAACAUUAAUUCUUUGAAGAAGGUUCAGUCUAUGAAACAUCUUCUGCUGAUCUUCUUCUGUUGGAUGCAACCAUUUUUCUAGACUCCGAUUAGGCAUGAACUCAUAGAUUAAAGCUCUAAAUUCAUUCCCUUGGAAAUCCAGACUAGUGGAAGAACUUACAAUCUUCACAAGGUUUCGAUGCUGGAUGUUUCUCAUUGCUUCACACUCAGCACUAAAACUCUUCAAGGCUCCACUGGUAUGAUGAACCUGAGAAGCUUCUUAUUUUUCUUUGACUCUCUUAGGGGCUGACACUUUGGUAGCUGUAGUUCAGGAAUGCCUCCACAGAGUCUCCUGUUCCCAACAACUGAUACUGCACUAGCAUUUCCAAAAAUGCCUUGUGUUGGUAGCUCGCCCACAAAAUCAUUGAAGGACAAAUUCAGGGACUUUAUGGACAUUCUUACUAAAAAAUGGGGGAUUGGUCCAGAAAAAUUGUUACUAGAAAGGUUAAGAUUUUGAGUACCUUUCAAAGAACUGAUAAAUUCUGGAAAAGAUCCCUGGAAAGAGUUACCAGCAAGGGAAAGGAUUUCAACGCUACUACAACCACCAAAGGUCCCAGGAAUUUCACCUGACAGAUGGUUUUCUGAAAAAUCCAAUCCAGCUAAAUUUUUCAAGUUGCCAACCUCUGAUGGUAUGGUUCCAGAUAAAUGAUUCUGAGAAAGAUCUAAUGAAAUGGACAGGGAAGAUAUCCCAAAAAUCUCUUUUGGUAUCAAACCACUGAAGUUGUUUUGAGAAAGUCCUAAGAGUAACAACUGCUGGCAAUUUCCAAGAGCUGGUGGUAUGGAUCCCUCCAAGUUGUUAUCAUCUAAAUAUAGUUCAUUCAGCAAUGAGAGGUUUCCUAAAGACUCCGGAAUUUCUCCUGACAAUUUGUUGGAAAUAAGAGCCAGCUGCUGAAGCUUUUGAAGAUUACCAAAUGUCCUUGGGAUUGUGCCUGUGAGUUGAUUCCUUUCAAGAUACAAAGUCUCUAAGCCAAUGAGGUUACCUAAUGUUGAAGGUAUCCCUCCAUAUAUUUGAUUUCCGCCAAGUGCCAUAUAGUACAAGAAUCGGGAUGAUAAGUUGCCGAUCCUUUUGGGCAAGACUCCCUUUAUUUGGUUGUUCUGUAGGCUCACUGCAACCAAAUUGCUGCAGUUUGUCAUGGUACUCAGAAACUGCAUCCCAUCCCUUACUUCCCCACUCCCGAAAUUAUUACUGGAUGCCGCUAGUGUUUUAAAAUUGUGCAGACUUCCAAAAUCAACUGCUAUUCUGCCGCUGAAUCCAUUGUUUCCAAUGUCAAUCCAGCCUAGCUCAGUGGCAUUCGACAGUGAAGCUGGAUGUAACCCUGUGAGCUGAUUGUCUCUCAACCAUGGUUCAAAGUCGCGGUCGCGGCCCGGAACGUUCGACAUCGGUCUCGGCAUAUCGAUCGCGGUCUCGGUGAGACGCAAAUUUUAAAGUAUUUAAUAUUCUAAAAAUUGUUAAUAAUAUAAAAAAGUAUGCUAAAUAAAAAUAAUUAAAAAAUAGCAAAAGAAACGGCCAAGUCAAUCCGUCGCGGUGUGACUCGGCUGAUUUCUCGUCUUGACUCGGAGUGAUUCGGUGUGACUCGGCCGAGUCAAUCCGUCGCGGUGACGACUCGGCCGAGAUUUCGAACCAUGCUCUCAACUGGAGAUACUCAAGAUGAGGAAGCAUGAAACCUAAUGCUGAAGGAAGACUUCCAUGUAGUUGAUUACUAGUAUAAUUGAUAAUAUCAAUUACAUUACAUAUACUAAUAUACAUUGUAUAAUAACUAUAAGUAAUAAUAAUAUUAUUAUAAGUUUGUAACUAAUUAAAUUAAAUAUUACAUAUAUACAUAUAUAUACAUUAUAUAAUAAUUAUAAGUAAUAAUAAUAUUAUUAUAAGUUUGUAACUAAUUAAAUUAAAUAUUACAUAUAUACAUAUAAAUAAAUAAAUAAAUAUAUAUAUAUAUUCUAACGAGUGGCGGGCCAAGGGAGUCCGCCUCACCCCACAUCCUAUUAGCCCCCAUGGUUGUCAUUCCUAGUUUUGAAUCUUUUGCCUUAUUCCUUUCGACUUCUUAAAUUCUACCCUUCCACUAUUGGGAUUAAAAAAAAAAAAAUUGAAAGGGUCAAAGUUUUGAGAUUAAUUCUGGGAUGAAGUGAACCCCUCUCAAACUACGGUUAAAUGCACUAAACCUCUUAAUGUUUAGAGUGAUUUGAAUUUUUUUCCCCUACAUUAUCUUUAUUGCACUUUUUUCCCUGGCCUAAGCCACAUCAACUUUUUGCCUUAACAAAAAAAGGGUUCCAAUUUCUUAUUUUUAUCCAUUCUUCUUCAUACUGCCCAAACUUCUCCUAUCAUCCAUAUUUUUAGUGCUGAAAUUUUAUUCUUUGUUUUUUGAGAAAUCAAGAAAUAAAUUUCCAAAAUAUUCCACUUCUAUUAAAAAAAUCAUCAAAUUAAAUAAAUUCAAAACUUUGUUAUUAUCCAAAAUAUUCCUCCUCAAGUUAUGAACAUUAAUAAGUGAAGGUCAUAUAGAAAUAUGGUAAUACAUCCCUUAUGCAUUCCGUGGACAGUUAAAAACUUUGAUAACAAUUUAACUAAAAAGUUUUACAUGGUACUCUUUUUUGUUAAUCAUUCUACAAUUUUUUUCCACACAAAAUGACUUAUGUCACAUUAGACAAUACAGAAUGAAUUCAGAUGCAAAAACUAGUAGUCAAAAUAAUAACUAUAGUAUUUUUGCAAUGCGAUGUAUGUGAGAUAAAAAAAUAAUUGAAAAGAUAAAGAGAAUAGUAUGUUGAAAAAUGUGUUUGCGAUGCAAGCAAACAAUUUUUUGACAAAUAAUUCCUAUCCAAACACCCCGGCAUUUUUCUUUCUUUCUUUCUUCUUUUCCCUGAACAUCUGGUUAUGCACGUAUGGAUUUAAUCUGGAAACUUAGAGCUUGAUCCAACUUCAUCUUGAGCCCAUGCUAAGCCUUUUUCUGCUGAUUUUCACCAUUGUUAUGCAUCCCAUUCUACUACUGCUACAGAAAACCAUCAAUUAUAGCUGAAUCUUAACCCAAUGUCCAACAUUUUUCAAAGGCUCAUACUAUAUGGAUUGGAUCAUAAUGCAAUAGCAAGAUGAAAGACUGAAAUCUCUUACCCCCGCCCCCCCCCCCUCUCCCAAAACAAAACAAAAACAACCUUCUUGUAAUUCAACGUUCCUCAGAUCAUUAAGCAAAAGGUCAGUCAUUGCUGCUUAAAGAUUGUCACACCUGAAGUUAAUUAGUUCACUGCCACACACUGACAACAUAUAAACAUUAUUAACUUGAGUUGAUCCGAAACAAGAAACUGUUAUUUAAGCAUUAAGGUGAAUUGAACAAUUUACUUUCAACUCAAUCGAGAAUGUGCGAAAAGGCUAGUGUUAAAUUGACUUGAUUAACUGCAAUGUGGAGAGUAAAUUGGGGGGAUUUGAUCAAAACAAAUGUGUAAAGCCAAGAAGAGUAAAAGGUCAUACAUUAAAAUGAGAGAUUCGUGGAUCAUAAUACAAACCUUUGAGUACACUAUGAAUUUCCAAGGUUUUUCUGUUUAUCGGAGCCAUUUUAAAGCUCUGCCAUGGUAAAUGUGUCCUUGAUAGAUUUUAAUCUGCAAAGAACUUGCGUCAUAUUUAUUCUAUCUUCUGGCAAGUGAAUGGAGCAAGCCAAGCCAACUUUAAGCAAUGAAAUCAAACACUGCUCUAGUAAAUUGCAUUUUGUUUCUCCCAGUGGACUGCUUCUGCUAUUGGCUGCUGUAGUUCUUCUGUGAUCUUCACACAGAAGUACCGGAUCCACAAUGUCCAUCACGCGCUCAGGAAUUGCCAUUUCAACAUAUGUAUGGAGAUCAAGGCCUCCAGUGAACAAAGGAUGUGUAGGCUUCUUCCCUGUCAUCAUCUCCAGCAAUAGGAUUCCGAAGCUGUAGACAUCUCCAUUACUUGAUACCUCUGCACCUAAGCCAUACUCUGCAUUAAUGUUGAAGCUUGUCAGACAGCCAAAGUAUGAAUUGUCAAAAAUAGCUCAGUUUUAAAAUUUGUUGUUUUGUAUAUGAUGUUGAAUGAACAUAGGUAAGAAAGAUUAAUUUAAAAAAAUCAGUCAGAUUUGUACUUUCUUACCUGGAGCUACAUAUCCAAUAGUUCCUCUGAUUCCAGCAGAGCUCGUUUCCUGUAAAUUUGGAGCUGAAUGAACAUAUUUUGCCAGCCCAAGAUCUCCAACAUGGGCUGUCAGAUCGCUGUCAAGUAGAAUAUUACUUGGUUUUAGAUCGCAAUGAACAAUCUGCUUGUGGCAAUGGUGAUGUAGAUAAUCAACGGCACAAGCUACAUCAAUAGCAACAUUAAUUCGCUGAAGAAGGUUUGGUAUAGGAAAAAUGUGCUGCUGAUGUUCAUCUGCUCGAUGCAACCAAGUUUCUAGACUGCCGUUGGGCAUGAACUCGUAGAUUACAGCUUUAAAAUCAUUCCCUUGGAAAUCCAGACCUGAGGAAGAACUUAUAAUCUUCACGAGGUUCCGAUGCCGGAUGUUUCUCAUUGCAUCACACUCAGCAAUAAAACUCUUGAAGGCUCCAUGGUGUUGAAGGUUAAAGACUUUGAUAGCCACCGACAAGUUUCCUCCUUCAGUCAGCACUCCUUUGUAUACGGAGCCAGAGCUACCAGCACCAAUUAGAUUUUCUGCAGAGAAACCAUUAGUAGCUUGAACAAGUUGUCUGUAGCUGACUCUCAGGAAGAGUCUGCCUAAGAAGUUUGGUAAUUUUGGUUGGGUCCUUCUCCUUUUAAAUGACCGUAGUCUGAAAAUUGAGAUUGAGGUUACCACUAUCACCAGGAAGGAACUUGUAAUCACCACUGGUAUGAUGAACCUGAGAGGCUUCAUAUUUUUCUUUGACUCUCCCGGAGGGUGGCACUUUGGCAGCUGUAGUUCAGGAAUGCCUCCACAGAGUCUCCUGUUCCCAACAACUGAUACUGCACUAGCAUUUCCAAAAAUACCUUGUCUUGGCACCUCACCCGAGAAAUCAUUGAAGGACAAAUUCAGGGUCUUAAUUGAUAUACUUGCCAUAUAUUGGGGGAUUUGGCCAGAAAAAUUAUUACUAGAAAGGUCAAGAAUUUGGACACUUCUCAAAGAACUAAUGAAUUCAGGAAAAGAUCCCUGGAAAGAGUUACCAGCAAGGGAAAGGAUUUCAAGGCUACUACAACCGCCAAAGGUCCCUGGAAUUUCACCUGACAGGUGAUUUUCUGAAAGAUCCAAUCCAGCUAAAUUUUUCAAGGUGCCGACCUCUGAUGGGAUUGUUCCAGAUAAACUGUUCUGAGAAAGAUUUAAUGAAAUGGACAGGGAAGAUAUCCCAAAAAUCUCUUUUGGUAUCGUACCACUCAAGUUGUUUUGAGAAAGUCCUAGGAGUAACAACUGCUUGCAGUUUCCGAGAGCUGGUGGAAUGGAUCCCUCCAAGUUGUUAUCAUCUAAAUAGAGUUCAUUCAACAGUGAGAGGUUUCCUACAGACUCUGGAAUUUCUCCUGACAAUUUGUUGGAAAUAAGAGCCAGCCGCUGAAGCUUUUGAAGAUAACCAAUUGUACUUGGAACUGUCCCUGUGAGUUGAUUACUUUCAAGAUACAAGGUCUCUAAGCCAAUGAGAUUACCUAAUGUUGAAGGUAUCCCUCCAUAUAUUUGAUUUCCGCCAAGUGACAUAUAGUCUAAGAAUCGGGAUGAUAAGUUGCCGAUACUGUUGGGCAAGACACCCUUUAUUUGGUUGUCUUGUAGGGAAAUUGCGACUAAUUGGCUGCAGUUUGUCAUGGUGCUGAGAAACUGCAAUCCAUCCAGUACUUCCCCACUUCCAAAAUUAUUAUUUGCAGCUAAUAGGGAAAUAAAAUUUUGCAGGCCUCCAAAAUCAACUGCUAUUCUGCCGCUGAAUCCAUUGUGUCCAAUGUCGAUCCAGCCUAGCUCAGAGGCAUUUGACAAAGAGGCUGGAAGUACCCCCCAGAACUGAUUGUCUCUCAACUGGAGAUACUCAAGGCGAGGAAGCAUGAGACCUAAUGCUGAAGGAAGAGUUCCAUGUAGCUGAUUACUUGGCAGAGACAAAACCUCCAGUUGAGAAAGAUUAUAGACAGAAACAGGGAUGUCACCAUUUAGUCUGUUUCCGCCAAAUCCAAUGCCUUUUAGCGUUUUCAACUGACCUAAGGAUUCAGGAAUAUUACCCUCCAAAUGAUUUGCAGCCGCAGAUAGUAAACUCAGGGAAGUAAAAUUCCCCAUGGAAGGAGGGAUAUUUCCUGUAAGGCUAUUGUUUUGAAUAACUAGAGAUUCAAGGUUCCUCAGAGAACCAAAUUCCGGCGGUAUUCUCCCAACUAGGUUAUUGUAGCUUAGGUCAAGAUGCACAAGCUUGGAGCACCGGGAUAGAUUGCCUGGAAUUUCGCCUUCCAGGGAGUCCCAUGACAGAUUCAGUUCCCGCAGCCUGAAGAGAUUUCCAAACUGGGGCGGGAUUCCACCUUGGAAGGUGUUGUUUCUUAGCAUCAACGCACGAAGAAAGCUGAGGUUCCCAAGAAACGGUGACAAGAAGCCAACCAAGCCCCUGCCUUGAAGAUCUAUGCUGGUCACUCUUCUGUGCCUUCGACCGCAUUCGACACCCUCCCAUGAGCAGAAAUGAUGAGAAUCAUUCCACGAGUUCAUGAUCCCAUAAGGGUCAUGCUGUAUUUUUGACUUGAAAUCCAAUAAAGCAACAUGAUCGUGAUGGUCUGCUUCUUUUCUGUCCAUGGUUUUUGUAGAAGCCAUGCUCAGAGGAAGACCUUUGGCAUGUACCUCCAAUGUCAGUAGUGCUAGCACCAGAUAAAUUCUUUUAGUUUCAGGAAUUGAGAUCAGAAAUCUAGCCAUUGUUCAGUGUGGAAAUGUGGAUGUGAUUCCCUUCUCAAGUAGGAAAAUUCUCAGGUAAGUAAACUAGUGAAAAUGGACAAUCAGUACUGUAAGCAUUAUUUAUAAUUUCAUCAGUGACUUCAUAUGUAAAGGACAGAUUCAAGCAUUGACAAAAUUGAGGUUAGAUUCCAGUGAAAAUGUAAGGAAGGUUAGUUAGAGUGACUGAUUGGGACUGAGUUCUUUCAUUAUUUAAAAAGUUACAGAGUAAAUCUUGGUUGAAUAGAGCCAGGUACAACCUAGCUUAGUAAUCAACUACAUUAGGUAAAGUAGAUAUAUAGACACCUCGGAAAGUGCCAAAAACAAGACAGGAACUUGUACUUAAUUAUACUCUGUGAAGUUAGUUAUUGAAUUUGUCAUACUACUAUUAAACAAGUAUAUUAUGUACAUAGGAAAAAUUUUCCAGCAGUAUUUUCCACGUAUCCUAGCUUCGUUUACCACUAUUGGCAGCUAAUCCAUCAACUCUGAUUGGCUAAGUAUGUCGUUGAUUCCAGCAGUAUCUACUUAGUGUGUAUAUAUAUAAGUGUCAGCAGUAUCUACCAAGUUGCGCGACAUCCCUUUCAUUGUUCUACAGUUUCAUUGUAUAAAAUUACUGUCUAUAUAUUUAUACACACCUACCAAAAAGUAGGAAGGUAUACCUAGGAGAAGUUUACAAGUAGAACCAUCUGUGAUGGACAUUGAUGAACACAAGGAACUAGUAUCCCUUGAUGUUUUACUGCAGAAUGUAUAUUACCGCAAAUUUAGUCAAAGAGUUCACAUUUGUGUCUCUGAAUUAUGCUCUUUGCCUCAUGAUUUUGAUCCCCUUUACUGGGGUGUUUGUUCAUGAUGUAGUGUUGGAAUUUUUUGUAUAAAUUUGUUUUACUCGCAAAAUUGCACCAUUAAAGCUUUUUUUUUUUUUUUUUUUUAAAUUGUAGUUACAAGAUGUACUUCAGCAAAAUUGAAUAGAUAUUCAUGUAUGUAGAAAGAAAAUUAAAGGCCCUUAAGUGUUGGUUUAAACACAUGUUAAAGCUUAUUGCUUGAACAAAACUAAUGGUCUCAUGCUUAAGCAAAAGAACAAAAUAUACAGUUGAGGUCCAUUGAAUUUGGCUAGUCUUGAACACUUUAAAUAGAAAUGCUGUUAAAUAUUAUGCAUUUCUGCAUAAUAUCCGAGAUAUUUUACAUAUUGUUAGUAUCACAAACAAUAUUUCAAGUUUCUAUAUAUAUAUAUAUAUAUAUAGUUAGACAGUUAGUAUCACAAACACAUCUUCUAACUACUUUUUUUAUAUUCUUAACUAUCUUUUAAUUUUACAUACAUUAUAUCAUAAAAAAUGCUAGAGUGUUAUUCCAAAUAAUAUUUUCUAACAAUCUCCUAUCCAAAUAUUUUCUUUACAUCUUUCACAUGAAUUCGUCCUGGUUAUAUUAGACAAAUCUUAGUGUUUACAGCAAACUCUUGUAAUUUUUGCUGUAAUUUGAUUAUUUGAUCAUCACAAUUUGUUUGUUUGAAUCAUCAAGAAAAAAUGGAGGUGAUUAGGACUGUUAACUAUUAACAUCAUAGGACUGGCGAUUGAUUACAAAGCUACAUCAUGGUGAAGAGUUUAGGUGGGGGUUCUGAUCAAUCUAUAUUAAUCCCAAUAGGUUUCUUGAGACUAGCCCACUUGAACAAUGUCACUUCACCAAAAGUUGAUUGGCUUAGCUUUGAGAGGUUGAUGUUCUGUAGGAAGGGUGGCUGCGGGUCGGGUACCCGCUCCGUCCACCAUUUGGCUGAUCUGACCCGCACCUUGCGGGUCAACUAUUUUCUGACUUUUAACUGCCUUGUAUAUUAGCGGGUAUUCGGUUAUAGGGUACUCGCUGAGAUAGGGUUGGGUUGAUGGGUACCCGUCCCACCCCACUUAUCAUUUAAUUUUUUUAAAAAAAAUUAUAUUAAUUUAAUUUUAUAUUUUACACAUUCAUCUAAGAUUUAAUAAAGAUUUUUUUCUCAAAAAAAGUCUCCCACCAAAAAACAAGCAUGCGAAGAGAAUACAAGAUAAAAGAAAAAAAAAAUAAAAGAAUUCAAAAUCAAUAAAAGUUUGAAUUAAGUAGCACAUUUUUUUAAAUAUAUGUUUCACAUUAAUUAAAUUCUUUUCUAUAAAACAUAAGAUUAUGACCUCUACAAAUGAGUUUUGUAAAUAAACUAUAGUAUCUCAUGUUUGUAAUGCAAUUUGUUUAGUGAAAUUACUUAUUUGGCUCUAAAAAUAUUGUCUCCGUUUGGAUUAGCUGUUUUUUGGGAUGUUUUUAAAAAUUUUUACUGUAACAGUGUAUAUCGGGCACCCACAGGUUUUUAAUUAUGAGAGCCUAAUCCACCUUGUAUUUUAGUGGGUACUCGACCAUUUUUUGAUCCGAUCAAAUAAUAUAAAUCGAGUAUUCUAAUUUUUGGAUUAGAUCGGAUUGGAUCGGAUCUAUCGACUUUUCGGGUUAAUAGAUAAAUUUGCUCACCCCUAUUAGGAGUAUGCAAUCGGAUUAAAUUAUUGGGAAAAUUGGAAAAAGGGUAGAGACGGAUUCAAAAAUUAUAAGAAGGGGGUAAGUUUUUGAUAUAUUGCUAUAGGGAAAAAUUUUAUUAUUUUUGAAAUCCUUAAAAAAAAAACAUGUUGAAAUUGAUAUGACCAAAUUACAGCAACCCCGAUAAAAAAUUUUAGAUUUUAAUUAUAUACACAUAUGCGCCCAAUAUAGUGCCAUGUAAAAGAUUGAGGAGGCUUGAGGUCGUAGAGGUUUUGAGUUUAAAUCCUUUCCCUUACUCCUUUUGACUUCUUAAAUUCCAUCGUUCCACUAUUGGGAUUAAAAAAAAGAAAAAAGAAAGGUUCAAAGUUUGAGAUUAAUUCUAAGAUGAAGUGAAAGGCAGGCCUCUCCCAAACUAGGGUUAAAUGCACUAAACCUCUUAAUGUUUAAGGUGAUUUGAAUUUUUUCCCCUGACAGUAUCUUUAUUGCUCAUUUUUCCCUCCCCAAAGCCACAUGAAUUUUUUUCCUUUAAAAAAAAAGGUUACAAUUUCUUAAUUUUUAUCCAUUCUUCUUCAUACUGCCCAAACUUCUCCUAUCAUCCAUAUUUUUAGUGGUGAAAUUUUUUUUUGAGAAAUCAAGAAAUAAAUUUCCAAAAUAUUCCACUUCUAAUUAAAAAAAAUCACCAAAUUAAAUAAAUUCAAAAUUUUGUUAUUAUCCAAAAUAUUCCUCCUCAAGUUAUGAACAUUAAUAAGUGAAGGUGAUAUAGAAAUAUGGUAAUACAUCCCUUAUAUGCAUUCUGUGGACAGUCAAAAACUUUGAUAACAAUUAAAAAAAAAGUUUUAAAUGGUACUCUUUUUUGUUAAUCAUUCUAUAAUUUCUUUCCACACGAAACGACUUAUGUCACAUUUUACAAUACAGAAUGUAUUCAGAUGCAAAAACUAGUAGUUGACCAAAUUCACAUUCAUAUACAUAGACCGGAGAUUAGUACUUUUUGCAAUGUGAUAUAUAUGAGAUAAAAAAAUAAUUGAAAAGAUAAAAUGAUAUGUUGAAAAAUGUGUCUGCGAUGAGCUGAGGCAAAAUGGACAACAUAUAAACAUUAUUAACUUGAGUUGACCCGAAACAAGAAACUGUUAUUUAAGCCGUAAGUUGAAUUGAACAAUUUACUUUCAACUCAUUCGAGAAUGCACGAAAAGGCUAGCGUUAAAUGACUUGAUUAACUGCAAUGUGGAGAGUAAAUUGGGGGGAUUUGAUCAAAACAAAUGUGUAAAGCCAAGAAGAGUAAAAGUUCAUUUACAUUAAAAUGAGAGAUUUGUGGAUCAUAAUACAAACGUUUGAUUACACUAUGAAUUUCAAGGUUUUUCUGUUUAUUGGAGCUAUUUUAAAGUUCUACCAUGGUAAAUGUGCCCUUAAUAGACUUUAAUCUGCAAACAACUUGCGUCAUAUUUAUUCUAUCUUCUGGCAAGUGCAUGGAGCAAGCCAAGCCAACUUUAAGCAAUGAAAUCAAACACUGCUCUAGUAAAUUGCAUUUUGUUUCUCCUAGUGGACUGCUUCUGUUAUUGGCUGCUGUAGUUCUUCUGUGAUCUUCACACAGAAGUACUGGAUCCACAAUGUCCAUCACACGCUCAGGAAUUGCCAUUUCAACGUAGGUAUGAAGAUCAAGGCCUCCAGUGAACAAAGGAUGUGUAGGCUUCUUCCCAGUCAUCAUCUCCAGCAAUAGGAUUCCGAAGCUGUAGACAUCUCCAUUACUUGAUACCCCGGCACCUAAGCCAUACUCUGCAUUAAUGUUGAAGCUUGUUAGACAGCCAAAGUAUGAAUUGUCAAAAAUAGCUCAGUUUUAAAAUUUGUUGUUUUGUAUAUGAUGUUGAAUGAACAUAGGUAAGAAAGAUUAAUUUAAAAAAAUCAGUCAGAUUUGUACUUUCUUACCUGGAGCUACAUAUCCAAUAUUUCCUCUGAUUCCAGCAGAGCUCGUUUCCGGCAAAUUUGGAGCUGAAUGAACAUAUUUUGCCAGCCCAAGAUCUCCAACAUGGGCUGUCAGAUCGCUGUCAAGGAGAAUAUUACUUGGUUUUAGAUCGCAAUGAACAAUCUGCUUGUGGCAAUGAUGAUGUAGAUAAUCAACGGCACAAGCCACAUCAAUAGCAACAUUAAUUCGCUGAAGAAGGUUUGGUAUAGGAAAAAUGUGCUGCUGAUGUUCAUCUGCUCGAUGCAACCAAGUUUCUAGACUGCCGUUGGGCAUGAACUCGUAGAUUACAGCUUUAAAAUCAUUCCCUUGGAAGUCCAGACCUGAGGAAGAACUUAUAAUCUUCACGAGGUUCCGAUGCCGGAUGUUUCUCAUUGCAUCACACUCAGCAAUAAAACUCUUGAAGGCUCCAUGGUGUUGAAGGUUAAAGACUUUGAUAGCCACCGACAAGUUUCCUCCUCCAGUCAGCACUCCUUUGUAUACGGAGCCAGAGCUACCAGCACCAAUUAGAUUUUCUGCAGAGAAACCAUUAGUAGCUUGAACAAGUUGUCUGUAGCUGACUCUCAGGAAGAGUCUACCUGAGAAGUUUGGUAAAUUUGGUUGGGUCCUCCUCCUUUUAAAUGACCGUAGUCGGAAAAUUGAGAUUGAGAUUACCACUAUCACCAGGAAGGAACUUGUAAUUACCACUGGCAUGAUGAACCGUAGUCGGAGAAGCUUCUUAUUUUUCUUUGACUCUCUUAGGGGCUGACACUUUGGUAGCUGUAGUUGGGGAAUGCCUCCACAGAGUCUUUUGUUCCCAACAACUGAUAUAGCACUAGCAUUUCCAAAAAUGCCUUGUGUUGGUAGCUCGCCCACAAAAUCAUUGAAGGACAAAUUCAGGGCCUUUAUGGACAUUCUUACUAAAAAUUGGGGGAUUGGUCCAGAAAAAUUGUUACUAGAAAGGUUAAGAUUUUGAAUACCUUUCAAAGAACUGAUAAAUUCUGGAAAAGAUCCCUGGAAAGAGUUACCAGCAAGGGAAAGGAUUUCAAGGCUACUACAACCACCAAAGGUCCCAGGAAGUUCACCUGACAGGUGAUUUUGUGAGAGAUCCAAUCCAGCUAAAAUUUUCAAGGUGCCAACCUCUGAUGGGAUUGUUCCAGAUAAAUGAUUCUGGGAAAGAUCUAAUGAAAUGGACAGGGAAGAUAUCCCAAAAAUCUCUUUUGGUAUCGUACCGCUCAAGUAGUUUUGAGAAAGUCCUAGGAGUAACAACUGCUUGCAGUUUCCAAGAGCUGGUGGAAUGGAUCCCCCCAGGUGGUUAUCAGCUAAAUAUAGUUCAUUCAACAGGGAGAGGUUUCCUACAGACUCUGGAAUUUCUCCUGACAAUUUAUUGGAAUGAAGAGACAGCCGCUGGACUUUAUGAAGAUAACCAAUUGUACUAGGAACCGUCCCUGUGAGUUGAUUACUUUCAAGAAAUAAAAGCUUUAAGCUGAUGAGAUUACCUACCGUUGAAGGAAUUUCUCCGUAUAUUUGGUUUCCACCAAGUACCAAGUAUUGGGAUGAUAAGUUACCGAUACUGUUGGGCAUGAUCCCCUUUAGUUGGUUGCCACCUAGGUCAAUUCCAAAUAAUUGGCUGCAGUUUGUCAUGGUACUGAGAAACUGCAAUCCAUCCAGUACUUCCCCACUUCCAAAAUUAUUAGCUGCUGCCAAUAGCCAAUGAAAAUUUAGCAGGCCUCCAAAAUCAACUGCUAUUCUGCCGCUGAAUCCAUUGUCUCCAAUUUCGAUUCGGCCUAGCUCAGAGGCAUUUGACAAAGAGGCUGGAAGUACCCCCCAGAACUGAUUGUCUCUCAACUGGAGAUACUCAAGGCGAGGAAGCAUGAGACCUAAUGCUGAAGGAAGAGUUCCAUGCAGCUGAUUACUUGACAGAGACAAAACCUCCAGCUGAGAGAGAUUAUAGAUAGAAACAGGGAUGUUACCAUUUAGUCUGUUUCCGCCAAAUGCAAUGAUUUUUAACGUUUUCAACUGACCUAAUACUUCGGGAAUUUUUCCCUCCAAAUGAUUUUCGGCCGCAGAUAGUAUACUCAGGGAAGUAAAAUUCCCCAUGGAAGGAGGGAUAAUUCCUGUUAGGUUAUUGUAGUGAAUCGCGAGGAAUUCAAGGUUCCUCAGGUAACCAAAUUCUGGUGGUAUUCUCCCAACUAGCCUGUUGAAGCCUAGGCUAAGUUGCAAAAGCUUGAAGCACUGGGAUAGAUUGCCUGGAAUUUCGCCUUCCAGGGAGUUCGAUGACAGAUUCAGUUCCUGCAGCCUGAAGAGAUUUCCAAACUGGGGCGGGAUUCCACCUUGGAAGGUGUUGUUACCUAGCAUCAACGUACGAAGAAAGCUGAGGUUUCCAAGAAAAGGUGACAAGAAGCCAACCAAGCCUCUGCUUUGAAGAUCUAUGCUGGUCACUCUUUUGUGCUUGCGACCGCAUAGAAUUCCCUUCCACGAGCAGAAAUCAGAGUCAUUCCAUGAGUUCAUAAUCCCAUAAGGGUCAUGUUGAAUUUUUGACUUGAAAUCCAAUAAAGCAACAGGAUCACCAUCACGAUCACGAUUACGUGCUUCUCUUUUGGCCAUGGUUUUUGUGGAAGCCGUGUCCAAAGGAAGAUUUUUGGCAUGCAACACCAAUACUGUCAGCAGUGCUAGCGCGAGACAAAUCCUUUCAGUUGCAUGAAUUGAGAUUAAAAAUCUUGCCAUUGUCCAGAGUGGAAUUGUGGAUGAGAUUCCCUCUCGAGUAGGAAAAUACUUGCAGUAGACUAGUGAAAUUUGAUAAUCAGUACAUAGGUUACUCCGUUUGUGCAAGGACAGAUUCAAGCAUUGAUAGAUUGAGGUUAGAUGCUAGUCAAAAUGCAUUAAGGGCUAGACUUGAGUCCCGGGAUUUGACCGCAGACUUAGAAAGCCACCUACAGACGCUUUACGCCCAAUCAUUCCGGAUAACGCUUGCAUUUUAGAGUGACCAGACUCCAGCUUAAGUUCUUUGUUUCUAAAUGAAAAGCUGUACAAUAAACCUUAGUAGACUCGGGACCAAUACAAUUGUAAACUAUUAAUUAGGUUUUUGCGUACAUUUGAUCCACAUCGGGACAAGUAUGAUUGACGUUUGAUACAAUUGGUACGAUUAUUAUACUUUUUACAAAAGUUAGCAUACGUUUACAAACGUGAUUGUAUUCAUAUACUAUACUAAUUUAAUGUACAUGAACACAUGUAUAUAGUAAAACAAUAUUCAUGCAUACUAAAUUAUAUAAAAUAUACACCGAUCAAAUAUGCGCAUGGAGAUCUCAACAUUACUUGUCCUCAAUUAUAUUUACUUGUUAUACCUUAUCGUGUCCAAUUACACUAUUCUUGGAGGAUGAGUGCAUGGGAUAUUUUAUUCAUCUAUACCGUUUUAAUUGUAUAGGAAGGAUUAUACAAUAAUUGUCCUCAAUGGGGAUCAACUUGGAAGCUUUACGAUGGAUUCAAUGGAUUUCUACCUUGUAUAUAAAUAAGAAGAAAAUCAAGUUACUGUAGCAAUCGAUCUUAGAUUUAAAUCUGAAUUUCCUAUACGUAUGCAUUCGAUUCAAACUGAGUGUCAAAAUGCUUUUGUGUUGUACAUAUUUAAUUUUUUUGUGUAUAAUUAUAUUAUAAUAUUAUACCGAAUAUAUGUAAAGUAUUUUAUUAAUGUACACUAUUUCUUUUUUUUUUUUUCACGAGUUCAAUAACAUAAAAUGUGAUUAUACGCCAAACCAUGUAACAAGUAUAAUGACCAAAUUGAAUUACACGGAACCAAAACCGCACUGGCACUCAUUCCGUCCAAUGCAGUGUCAUGUAAAGAGUCUUACUUUUGAAAUUGUCAUCAUCGUAAUGCAUACUAUUUAACCUUUGAUUUUUCUGAAAGGAACUCAAACAGUUAUGUGCUCCAUUGACUUGUAACUAUCAAGUUUGCAUACCAUCCUCCAAAGAAAUUGAAAGUUGACACUGCCAACCAAAUAAUCGAAUGGUUUUGGUUACAUUUGAUUCUUUUGGAAAGAGUUUAAAGGCCACACUCAAUUCAAUGAAAAUUUGACAUUUUGCAGCCAAUUAUUCUAAUGGUUUUGUUUGUAUCCCUGGACAAGAAUUUAUGCUAAGGCAUGGGCACUAAUGUGCUUGAGAUCCCACAUUGUAUGGUUUGUGAAAGGAAAACUCCAAAUUGCGUAGUCAUGUGGAGAAAAUUAAAAGUCGUUGGAGAGGUUGAUGCAAUUGUUAACUUAUAAUAUGGGCAAAGGUGGGAAAAGGGUAAUUUUUUGAAGAGGCAAAUUGGAUUGAACCUAAUGCAUACAGGAUACAACUGGUUUCUAGCCAAAUAAAGGUAAAGCGGAUGGCCAAAUUCUCAAAAAUUGGGAAAGAAAAAUGUUGUUAUUAGAAGGACAGUUCAUUGAUAAUUGCAGAACCAUUUCAGACAGCCAAAGUUUAAACAUAAAAUGUCAAAAACAAUUUAUAUCAAGGGAAAAUUUUCGUGUUUUUUAUAUGAUGUUGCAUAAUUAUAUGUACAAACAAUAAAGAAUCAAAUAUAUGUGUUCUUUCUUUCCUGGAGCCACAUAUGACAUAUCCUAUAGUUCCUCUGAUCCCAGCAGAGGUGCUUUCUAAUGAUCUGGGAGGUGAAUGAAGAUACUUUGACAGCCCAAAAUCUCCAACAUGGGCUAUCAGAUCACUGUCAAGAAAAUAUUGUUUGGUUUAAGAUCGCAAUGAGCAAUCUGCCUGUGGCAAUGAUGAUGUAGGUAAUCGAGGGCACAAGCCACAUCAAUAACAACAUUAAUUCUUUGAAGAAGGUUCAGUCUAUGAAACAUCUUCUGCUGAUCUUCUUCUGUUGGAUGCAACCAUUUUUCUAGACUCCCAUUAGGCAUGAACUCAUAGAUUAAAGCUCUAAAUUCAUUCCCUUGGAAAUCCAGACCGGAGGAAGAACUUACAAUCUUCACAAGGUUUCGAUGCCGGAUGUUUCUCAUUGCUUCACACUCAGCACUAAAACUCUUUAAAAGAUCCAUGGUGGAAAAGGUUAAAGGCUUUGAUUGCCACUGCUAAGUUUCCAGCUUCAGUCAGUGUUCCUUUAUAUACUGAGCCAGUGCUACCAACACCAAUUAAAGCUUAUUGCUUGAACAAAACUAAUAGUCUCAUGCUUAAGCAAAAGAACAAAAUAUACAGUUGAACUCCAUUAAAUUUGGCUAGUCUUGAACACUUUAAAUAGAAAUGUUGUUAAAUAUUAUGGGUUUCUACAUAAUAUCCGAGAUAUUUUACAUAUUGUUUGUAUCACAAACAAUACUACAAGUUUCUACCUAAAUAUAUAUCACAAACAAUAUAUAUAUAUAUAUAUAUAUAUAUAUAUAUAUAUAUAUAUAGUUAGUUAGUAUCACAAACACUUCUAACUACUUUUUUUCUUAAUAUUCUUAACUGUCCUUUUGGAUUAAUCUUUCCUACACUGACAGUGUAUACACUAUCAGCAUUGGAUGAAUGAUAACUAUGCAAAAUUUGAGUUUGAAAUUCAACUUUUGUACUCAUGUCAUGAAUCCAACGAUAAUAGUGUAUACACCGUCAGUGUAGGAAAGAUUUACUCCUGUCUUUUAAUUUCACAUACAUUACAUCAUAAAAAAUGCUAUAAUGUUAUUCCAAAUAAUAUUUUCUAAAAAUCUCCUAUCCAAACAUUUUCUUUACAUCUUCCACAUGAAUUCGUCCUGGUUGCAUUAGAUAAAUCCAAAAUCUUGUAAUUUUUCCUGUAAUUUGAUUAUUUGAUCAUCACAAUUUGUAUGUUUGAAUCAUCAAGAAAAAAUGGUGGUGAUUAGGACUGUUAACUAUUAACAUCAUAGGACUGGCGAUUGAUUACAAAGCUACAUCAUGGUGAAGAGUUUAGGUAGGGGGUUUUGAUCAAUCUACCUAUAUAUAUAUAUACACACAUAUGUAUAUUAAUCCCAAUAGGUUUCUUGAGACUAGUCCACUUGAACAAUGUCACUUCACCAAAAGUUUAGACGACGAUGUUUUGUUGCAACCAGAUCAUAAAUUAUUGGGAAAAUUGGAAAAAGGGCAGAGACGGAUUCGAAAAUUAUAAGAAGGGGGUAGGUUUUUGAUAUACUGUUAUAGGGAAAAAAUUUAUUAUUUUUGAAAUUCUUAAAAAAAAUACGUUGGAAUUGAAAUGACCAAAUUACGGCAACCCCCAUAAAAGAUUUUAGAUUUUAAUUAUCUACACAUAUGCCUCCAAUACAGUGUCAUGUAAAAGAUUGAGGAGGUUUGAGGUCUUAAAGGUUAUGAGUUUAAAUAGGAAUAGCAACGGGGCGGGUUUGGGGCGGGGACCCCGCUUCGCUGUCCAAUACUUCCCCCCACCCCUGCCUUGCCUCCCAUCCCCCGCUUCCCCCCACCUCGCCCCCACCCCGCCCUACUUUCGCCGUGGGAUUAAUAAAAAUUUGUCAUAUAAUUUCAUUGUAGUUAAAUUUUAGCAAAUGAUUAAGUACUAAAAUAUCAAUACAUUACUAAAUCGUUAUACAUUGUAAUUUAACAAUUGAAAUCUGUAAGAACAAUCAAACAAAAAUUAUUUGAAUACAAUCUAACAUGAUGAAACAAAUAAAACUAAAGUAGUCAAGUUUUCACUUUUGAAAUAAAUAUAAUCACUAAGUCUUUAUUGUAUUUUUUUUUGACAAAAAAUAUUAUUGUGUUAAGUGUAAUUAGAAAUUUAGUAUAAAUAUAUUAGUAAAUUUAGUAUAACUAAUUAAUAAUUUCUAUUAGUAGAUAUGUAUAAUUAUUAGUCUAAUUGAUAAUAUCAAUUGUAUUACAUAUAUUAAUAUACAUUAUAUAAUACUUAUAAUUAAUAACAUUAUUAUUAUAAGUUUGUAACUAAUUAAAUUAAAUAUUACAUACAUAUAUAUAUAUAUAUAUAUAUACACACACUAACGAGUGGGGGGCGAGGGAUGGGGCAGGGUGAUUAGCCUCCGCGGUUGCCAUCCCUAGGUUUGAAUCUUUCCCCUUAUUCCUUUCGACUUCUUAAAUUCUAGCCUUCCACUAUUGGGAUUAAAAAAAAAAAAGAAAGGGUCAAAGUUUUGAGAGUAAUUCUGGGAUGAAGUGAAAGGCAGGACCCUCUCAAACUAGGGUUAAAUGCACUAAACCUCUUAAUGUUUAGGGUGAUUUGAAUUUUUUCCCCCUACAUUAUCUUUAUUGCACUUUUUUCCCUCCCCUAAGCCACAUCAACUUUUUGCCUUAAAAAAAACGGUUCCAAUUUCUUUUUUUUUUUUUUAUCCAUUCUUCUUCAUACUGCCCAAACUUCUCCUAUCAUCCAUAUUUUUAGUGCUGAAAUUUUAUUUUCUUUUUUUUGAGAAAUCAAGAAAUAAAUUUCCAAAAUAUUCCACUUCUAUUAGAAAAAUCACCAAAUUAAAUAAAUUCAAAACUUUGCUAUUAUCCAAAAUAUUCCUCCUCAAAUUAUAAACAUUAAUAAGUGAAGGUGAUAUAGAAAUAUGGUAAUAUAUCCAUUAUAUGCAUUCCGUGGACAGUUAAAACUUUGAUAACAAUUAAAAAAAAAAGUUUUACAUGGUACUCUUUUUUGUUAAUCAUUCUAUAAUUUUUUCCACACGAAACGACUUAGGUCACAUUUUACAAUACAGAAUGUAUUCAGAUGCAAAACUAGUAGUUUACCAAAUUCACAUUCAUAUACAUAGACAGGAGAUUAUUUAAAAGAAUAACUGUAAUACUUUUUGGAAUAUGAUAUAUAUGAAAUAAAAAAAUAAUUAAAAAAAUAAAAUGAUAUGGUGAAAAAUGUGUCUGUGACGUAAGCAAACAAUUUUUUGACAAAUAAUUUCUAUCCAAACACCCCGGCAUUUUUCUUUCUUUCUUUCUUCUUUCCCCUAAACAUCUGGUUAUGCACGUAUGGAUUUAAUUUGGAAACUUGGAGCUUGAUCAACUUCAUCUUGAGCUCAUGCUAAGCCUUUUCUGCUGAUUUUCACCACUGUCAUGCAUCCCACCCUGCCACUGCUACAGAAACCAUCAAUUAUAGCUGAAUCUUAAUCCAAUGUCCAACAUUUUUCUAAGGCUCAUACUGUAUGGAUUGGAUCAUAAUGCAAUAGCAAGAUGAAAGACUGAAAUCUCUUCCUCUCUCCCAAAACAAAAACAACCUUCUUGUACUUCAAGGUUCCUCAGAUCAUUAAGCAAAAGGUCAGUCAUUGCUGCUUAAAGAUUGUCACACCUGAAGUUAAUUAGUUCACUGCCACACUAAUAAGAUGAGCUGAGGCAAAAUUGACAGCAUAUAGACAUUGUUAACUUGAGUUGACCCGAAACAAGAAACAGUUAUUUAAGCCGUAAGGUGAAUUGAACAAUUUACUUUCAACUCAUUCGAGAAUGUGCGAAAAGGCUAGUGUUAAAUGACUUGAUUAACUGCAAUGUGGAGAGUAAAUUGGGGGGAUUUGAUCAAAACAAAUGUGUAAAGCCAAGAAGAGUAAAAGUUCAUUUACAUCAAAAUGAGAGAUUUGUGGAUCAUAAUACAAACGUUUGAGUACACUAUGAAUUUCCAAGGUUUUUCUGUUUAUCGGAGCUAUUUUAAAGCUCUGCCAUGGUAAAUGUGUCCUUGAUAGAUUUUAAUCUGCAAACAACUUGCGUCAUAUUUAUUCUAUCUUCUGGCAAGUGCAUGGAGCAAGCCAAGCCAACUUUAAGCAAUGAAAUCAAACACUGCUCUAGUAAAUUGCAUUUUGUUUCUCCUAGUGGACUGCUUCUGUUAUUGGCUGCUGUAGUUCUUCUGUGAUCUUCACACAGAAGUACUGGAUCCACAAUGUCCAUCACACGCUCAGGAAUUGCCAUUUCAACGUAUGUAUGAAGAUCAAGGCCUCCAGUGAACAAAGGAUGUGUAGGCUUCUUCCCUGUCAUCAUCUCCAGCAAUAGGAUUCCGAAGCUGUAGACAUCUCCAUUACUUGAUACCUCGGCACCUAAGCCAUACUCUGUAUUAAUGGUGAAGCUUGUUAGACAGCCAAAGUAUGAAUUGUCAAAAAUAGCUCAGUUUUAAAAUUUGUUGUUUUGUAUAUGAUGUUGAAUGAACAUAGGUAAGAAAGAUUAAUUUAAAAAAAUCAGUCAGAUUUGUACUUUCUUACCUGGAGCUACAUAUCCAAUAGUUCCUCUGAUUCCAGCAGAGCUCGUUUCCUGUAAAUUUAGAGCUGAAUGAACAUAUUUUGCCAGCCCAAGAUCUCCAACAUGGGCUGUCAGAUCGCUGUCAAGUAGAACAUUACUUGGUUUUAGAUCGCAAUGAACAAUCUGCUUGUGGCAAUGGUGAUGUAGAUAAUCAACGGCACAAGUCACAUCAAUAGCAGCAUUAAUUCUCUGAAGAAGGUUUGGUAUAGGAAAAAUGUGCUGCUGAUGUUCAUCUGUUAGAUGCAACCAAGUUUCUAGACUGCCGUUGGGCAUGAACUCGUAGAUUAAAGCUUUAAAAUCAUUCCCUUGGAAAUCCAGACCUGAGGAAGAACUUAUAAUCUUCACGAGGUUCCGAUGCCGGAUGUUUCUCAUUGCAUCACACUCAGCAAUAAAACUCUUGAAGGCUCCAUGGUGUUGAAGGUUAAAGACUUUGAUAGCCACCGACAAGUUUCCUCCUUCAGUCAGCACUCCUUUGUAUACGGAGCCAGAGCUACCAGCACCAAUUAGAUUUUCUGCAGAGAAACCAUUAGUAGCUUGAACAAGUUGUCUGUAGCUGACUCUCAGGAAGAGUCUACCUGAGAAGUUUGGUGACUUUGGUUGGGUCCUCCUCCUUUUAAAUGACCAUAGUCGGAAAAUUGAGAUUGAGAUUACCGCUAUCACCAGGAAGGAACUUGUAAUUACCACUGGCAUGAUGAACCUGAGAAGCUUCUUAUUUUUCUUUGACUCUCUUAGGGGGUGGCACUUUGGUAGCUGUAGUUGGGGAAUGCCUCCACAGAGUCUUUUGUUCCCAACAACUGAUAUAGCACUAGCAUUUCCAAAAAUGCCUUGUGUUGGUAGCUCGCCCACAAAAUCAUUGAAGGACAAAUUCAGGGACUUUAUGGACAUUCUUACUAAAAAUUGGGGGAUUGGUCCAGAAAAAUUGUUACUAGAAAGGUUAAGAUUUUGAAUACCUUUCAAAGAACUGAUAAAUUCUGGAAAAGAUCCCUGGAAAGAGUUACCAGCAAGGAAAAGGAUUUCAAGGCUACUACAACCACCAAAGGUCCCAGGAAGUUCACCUGACAGGUGAUUUUCUGAAAAAUCCAAUCCAUCUAAAAUUUUCAAGCUGCCAACCUCUGAUGGGAUUGUUCCAGAUAAACUGUUAUGAGAAAGAUUUAAUGAAAUGGACAGGGAAAAUAUCCCAAAAAUCUCUUUUGGUAUCGUACCACUCAAGUUGUUUUGGGAAAGUCCUAGGAGUAACAACUGCUUGCAGUUUCCAAGAGCUGGUGGAAUCGAUCCCCCUAGGUGGUUAUCAUCUAAAUAUAGUUCAUUCAACAGUGAGAGGUUUCCUACAGACUCCGGAAUUUCUCCUGACAAUUUAUUGGAUUGAAGAGACAGCCGCUGGACUUUCUGAAGAUAACCAAUUGUACUAGGAACUGUCCCUGUGAGUUGAUUACUGUCAAGAAAUAAAGUCGUUAAGCUGAUGAGAUUACCUACCGUUGAAGGAAUUUCUCCGUAUAUUUGGUUUCCACGAAGCCACAAGUGUUGGGAUGAUAAGUUACCGAUACUGUUGGGCAAGAUCCCCUUUAGUUGGUUGCCACCUAGUUCAAUUACCCAUAAUUGGCUGCAGUUUGUCAUGGUACUGAGAAACUGCAAUCCAUCCAGUACUUCCCCACUUCCAAAAUUAUUAUGUGCAGCAGCUAGCAAAAUAAAAUUUUGCAGGCCUCCAAAAUCAACUGUUAUUCUGCCGCUGAAUCCAUUGCCUCCAAUGUCGAUCCGGCCUAGCUCAGAGGCAUUCGACAAAGAGGCUGGAAGUACCCCCCAGAACUGAUUGUCACUCAACUGGAGAUACUCAAGCUGAGGAAGCAUGAGACCUAAUGCUGAAGGAAGAUUUCCAUGUAGCUGAUUACUUGGCAGAGACAGAACCUCCAGUUUAGAAAGAUUAUAGACAGAAACAGGGAUGUUACCAUUUAGUCUGUUAUCGCCAAAUCCAAUGCGUUUUAACGUUUUCAACUGACCUAAUUCUUCGGGAAUUUUUCCCUCCAAAUGAUUUUCAGCCGCAGAUAGUGUACUCAGGGAAGUACAAUUCCCCAUGGAAGGAGGGAUAUUUCCCCUAAGGUUAUUGUGGCGAAUCAUGAGGGAUUCAAGGUUCCUCAGGUAACCAAAUUCUGGUGGUAUACUCCCAACUAGAUUAUUGUGGCUUAGGUUAAGAUGCAAAAGCUUGAAGCACUUGGAUAGAUUGCUCGGAAUUUCGCCUUCCAGGGAGUUCCGUGACAGAUGCAGUUCCUGCAGCCUGAAUAGAUUUCCAAACUGGGGCGGGAUUCCACCUUGGAAGGUGUUGUUACUUAGCAUCAACGUACGAAGAAAGCUGAGGUUUCCAAGAAAAGGUGACAAGAAGCCAACCAAGCCUCCGCUUUGAAGAUCAAUGCUGGUCACUCUUUUGUGCUUGCGACCGCAUAGAACACCCUUCCAUGAGCAGAAAUCAUGAGAGUCAUUCCAUGAGUUCAUAAUCCCAUAAGGGUCAUGCUGAAUUUUUGACUUGAAAUCCAAUAAAGCAGCAGGAUCACAAUCACGAUCACGAUCACGAUUAUGUGCUUCUCUUCUGGCCAUGGUUUUUGUGGAAGCCGUGUCCAAAGGAAGAUUUUUGGCAUGCAACACCAAUACCGUCAGCAGUGCUAGCGCGAGACAAAUCCUUUCAGUUGCAUGAAUUGAGAUUAAAAAUCUUGCCAUUGUCCAGAGUGGAAUUGUGGAUGAGAUUCCGCUCUCAAGUAGGAAAAUACUUACAGUAGACUAGUGAAAUUUGAUAAUCAGUACAUAGGUUACUCCAUUUGUGCAAGGACAGAUUCAAGCAUUGAUAGAUUGAGGUUAGAUGCUAGUCAAAAUGCAUUGAGGGCUAGACUUGAGCCCCGGGAUUUGACCGCAGACUUAGAAAGCCACCUACAGACGCUUUACGCCCAAUCAUUCCGGAUAACGCUUGCAUCUUAGAGUGACCAGACUCCAGCUUAAGUUCUUUGCUUCUAAAUGAAAAGCUGUGCAAUAAACCUUAGUAGACUUGGGACCAAUACAACUGUAAACUAUUAAUUAGGUUUUUGCGUACAUUUGACCCAGAUCGGAACAAGUAUGAUUGACGUUUGAUACAAUUGAUACGAUUGUUAUACUUUUUACAAAAGUUAGCAUACGUUUACAAACGUGAUUGUAUUCAUAUACUAUACUAAUUUAAUGUACAUGAACACAUGUAUAUAGUAAAACAAUAUUCAUGCAUAUUAAAUUAUAUAAAAUAUACACCGAUCAAAUAUGCGCAUGGAGAUCUCAACAUAACUUGUCCUAAAUUAUAUUUGGUUUACUUGUUAUACCUUAUCGUGUCCAAUUACUCUAUUCUUGGAGGAUGAGUGCAUGGGAUAUUUUAUUCAUCUAUACCGUUUUUGAUUGUAUAGGAAGGAUUAUACAAUAAUUGUCCUCAACGGGGAUCAACUUGGAAGCUUCAACCUUGGUUUUAUAUAGGUUCCAUGACAAGUGUAAGAAGUCAUUUUAUGCUUUAUGAUGGAUUCAAUGGAUUUCUACCUUGCAUAUAAAUAAGAGGAUAGUCAAGUUAGCGUAGCAGCCCAUCCAUCUUGGUUUUAAAUCUCAGUUUCCUACACGUAUGCAUGCGAUUCGAAUUGAGUGCCAUAAUGCUUUUGUGUUGUACAUAUUUAACAUUUUUUUGUGUAAAAUUAUAUUAUAAUAUUAUACCGAAUAUAUGUAAAGUAUUUUAUUAAUGUACACUAUUUUUUUUUUUCACAAGUUCAAUAUACAUCCGUCUGGCAAGUGAGUUUUUUGGGUGUUUGUCUAAAACUUUACUGUAGUUUACUGUAAAAGUUUUUAAAAAAUUUUUUAAGGUGUAUAAAUUUUUGAAUAUUUUUAAGUGUAUAGUUUAAAAAUUUUGAAAAGUUUUUUGAGAUUACUGUAGCUAAAGUUUUUAAAGAACUUAUAGCAGACAAAUUUGACAAAAAACUCAAGUGCCAAACAGGGCCAUACGACAAACCAUGUAACAAGUAUAAUGUCCAAAUUGAAUUACACGGAACCAAAACCGCACUGGCACUCAUUCCGUCCAAUGCAGUGUCAUGUAAAGAGUCAUACUUUUGAAAUUGUCAUCAUCGUAAUGCAUACUAUUUAACCUUUGAUUUUUCUGAAAGGAACUCAAACAUUUAUGUGCUCCCUUGACUUGAAUAUUCUUCACCAGUAACUAUCAAGUUUGCAUACCAUCCGAAGAAAUUGAAAUUUGACACUUCCAACCAAAUAAUCGAAUGGUUUUGGUUACAUUUGAUUCGUUUGUAAAGAGUUUAAGGGCCACACUCAAUUCAAUGAAAAUUUGACAUUUUGCAGCCAAUUAUUCUAAUGGUUUUGUUCGUAUUCCUGGACAAGAAUUUAUGGAAACACAUGGGCACUAAUGUGCCUUGAGAUCCCACAUUGUAUGGUUUGUGAAAGGAAAACUCCAAAUUGUGUAGUCAUGUGGAGAAAAUUAAAAGUCGUUGGAGAUGUUGAUGCAAUUGUUAACUUAUAAUAUGGGCAAAGGUGGGAAAGGGGUAUUUUUUGAAGAGGCAAAUUGGAUUGAACCUAAUGCAUACAUGAUACAACUGGUUUCUAGCCCAAAUAAAGCUAAAGCGGAUGGCCAAAUUCUCAAAAAUUGGGAAAGAAAAAUGUUAUUAGAAGAACAGUUCAUUGAUAAUUGCAUAACCAUUUUUUUGGUCCUCGAUACAUUGGGGAAAAGAGUUGAUUCCAGAUCGAAUAGUACACUACUCAAAUUUGAUUCUAGUUAAAAAAAAAAAAUUCGGAUUCGAACUCGAGUUCAAACUUGUUGAACUCUUGAGAGGUGUGCAAGAGUUAGAGUUUGAUCUCAAUUUUUUGCCUUACUCAAGCUUGAUCAAAUCGAGCCCAAUCAAGUUUAAUCGAGUCCAAUAAAAUUUAAGUAGUAUAAAUUUAUAUUUUAUAUUAUUUUAAACAAGGGACAAGAUAGACUUUUACACUAAUAAAUAAAAUUUUUUUAAAACAUAUAAAUGUGAAACGCAAUUAAAUUAGAUUAAACUCGAUGAAUGUUCGAACUUCGAACUUAACAUAUUAUAUUUGAACUUGAACUCGUCAAGUUAUUUGAAUUACUUGAAUUCAAUCACAAAGUCAAUCAAUGUGAGUUUGAACUCAAAUUAUGGCAGCUUAGUAUGAAGCAUAAGUUGAAGCAUUUUGUCUGGAAAUGUUUGAAGGGAAUCCUGCCAGUCAAUGCAAGCAUCAAGGCUAGAUGUCAGCAAGGCAAUCCAGUGUGUAAAUGCUGUGGUUUAUACUCAGAGUCGAUUGAACAUAUGUUGUUCUUUUGUAGCCAUGCAGAGGUGAUUUGGAAGGUGGCACCAAUUCAAUGGGAUGGGUUGGAGAAUCUAAAGGGAAAGUUCUGGUUGUGGUGGUCUGAGUUAGUGGAGGCUACAUCUAGGGAGAAGGGUGAGGAGCAUGUUAUAUUCACAGUCAACCUACUAUGGCAAAUUUGGAAAGAUAGGAACGAGAUAAAUUUCAAUGGGAAGGGUAGAGGUCCAGGGGUGGUGGUAAAUAAAGCUGUAACGGAGUGGCUGGAGUAUCAAGAGUGUGUAGGGGAGGGAAGUGAGGAAGAGGAGGAACCACAGCAACUAAAAAAGGAGAAAGGAAGAUGGACUGCCCCUGACAAAGGGUGGAUCAAGCUAAAUACUGAUGCUGCAUUGAACCGGCAGAACAGAAAAGCUGGUUGGGGAAUCGUGGCUAGGGACUGGGAAGGAAAGCUGAUUGCUACUUGGGCAUGUCCUUCAUUCACUUGCUCUGUACCUGUACUUGAAGAGGCAUUGGCAAUAAGAGCUGCAAUGGUAAAAGCUGCUACGGAAGGCUGGGAGAAAAUUAUUAUAGAAUCUGACUGUAAGGUGGUGAUCGAUAAGAUUGAGAAGGGAAUGGAAGAUGUUGUUACGUCUACUGUCUUGCAGGACAUUAAACUGCUACAAUAUAACUUUGAAGAAUGUUGGUUUUCCUUUGUUAGAAGGGACUUCAACUUUGUUAGUCACUCUUUAGCUAAGUUUGCUCUUAAGUUAGAUGCUAUUGUUGAUUGGAAAGCUAACUUUCCAGUUUGGUUGCUUGACUGCGCUCAAGCAGACGUAGAGGAGCAGUUGCUUCAGAAUGUGUAACCUGUUUUUGGAUGAAUGAAUUGUUGCCGUUUUAGACAAAAAAAAAAAAAGAAAA